UUUAUCAAACUGAAAGAAACCUAAAAACCUUCUCUCAACUCGCUCUCACUCUCAAACCCAUCUCCUCUCUUGCUCUCGCUUUCAUUCUCGCACCCAACAGAAAUCUUCGAACUGAAAACCCAAUCCAUCAUCAAUUUCUUCGAAUCUGACAUGGAAACUGAAAACCCAGAAUCAUCUCAACCAUCUCACCUCACAAAAUAGAAAACCCCAUUCUAGCCAAACGAUGUCUGUCUCAAUCUCAAUUCGUAUCUUGGUCUCAGUCUGAGUUCGCAUCUAUCACUGGCGAUUGCAUUGGGUAGCAGCACAAGCGAUUCAGGCUGAGGCUGUUAUCUCUUUAAUCCAAAAUAGGAAGAGGAAAGUUCAAGGGCAAGCCCACGGGUCACUACGACUUCUCCACUCACGAAGAGAUGGCAGUCAAUUUGAAGGUAUUGGAGUUCGAUUCGUAGUAGGUCAUUUGAAGAUUAUCCACAAUGAAAGGCUUAUUAGUUAGCUCAAAGUGAGAUCUGCUAUUGGUCAUAAUCAGCGUCCUCAUCAUAGUUCUUCUUCAAUCUUCUUCUAUUAGUACUAACAAGUACAUAUACUACUCUACUACUACUCCUACUCCAUUUCUUUAUAUCAACUGGUAAUUUUUUUUUUUUAA
RNAcentral lists this long non-coding RNA (640 nucleotides) under Rosa chinensis. Its description in RNAcentral is "sRNA RchiOBHm_Chr2g0103981". Lineage: Eukaryota; Viridiplantae; Streptophyta; Magnoliopsida; Rosales; Rosaceae. The record is from RNAcentral.